Molecule: ribosomal RNA, 513 nt
Filed under: Triticum aestivum (bread wheat)
Lineage: Eukaryota; Viridiplantae; Streptophyta; Magnoliopsida; Poales; Poaceae
Description: partial small subunit ribosomal RNA
Source: RNAcentral
AUGAUCACCAUGGACUUUAUCGAUGGCCUGCCACAGUCAGGGAAAGUCAAUUGCAUCUGGGUGAUCGUCGAUAAGCGCCCAAAAUUUGCCCACUUCCUGCCUUUGGCUCAUCUGUACACAGCCUCCAAGGUGGCACUUCUCUACAUGACAAGCAUCUACAAGAUUCAUGGCUUCCCGCACUCUAUUGUCUCAUAUCGCGACCCGGUGUUCACCAGCCACUUUUGGCGCGAGCUUUUCAAGUACGCGGGCACAGAGCUGCGCAUGAGCUCCGCUAACCACCCUCAGACGGACGGUCAAAUGGAACGGGUGAACCAGUGCCUGGAAACUUAUCUGGGCUGCUUCGUCCAUGCAUGUCCGAGCCACUGGAGUCAUUGGCUUCCACUAGCGCAGUUCUGGUACAACUCCUCGUACCACUCCAGCAUUGGGAUGUUGCCGUUCAAGGCUAUGUUUGGUCAUGAACCACGAACUUGGGGCAUCUCACCCACUGAUGAGUGCCCAGUGCCCGCUCUGUAG